UGGUCUCCUGCAGAACUGCUGGCCC
RNAcentral lists this non-coding RNA (25 nucleotides) under Mus musculus (house mouse). Lineage: Eukaryota; Metazoa; Chordata; Mammalia; Rodentia; Muridae. The record is from RNAcentral.